CCCUCUUCAUAUCCAAGGAGUUGGACGUCCAUCUGGCAAAGGUUCAAGGUAUGGUGGCGCUUGGAACAGGAAGGCCGCAGGACAUCUUCGACAGGCUACUGCUCCAACUUCAGAAGGAGUUCUGAAGUACUUUCAAAUUAGAUAGAGAUCUAAUUUUUUGAGCAUAGAUUUAUGAGGAGAAGAUGUUCUAGGUCCUGCCUGAGUGGAUACUGGUAGAGGUCAGGCGCUUGCGUGGCUACAUCAGAAUCUCGGGCUGUACUGAGAUCAUCUACAGGGUAAUCAGAUUACCCUUGAGGUAUGUCUAUACUUCUCAUACUUUUAGAUUUAAUUUUAAAAUUUAAAUAUCAGAUCAUAAAAUUAGAUCUAACAAACAUUAGAUUUGAAAUAGCGUAGGAUAAAAUUUUUAAAUUAUUCCAUCCCAGAUUUGAUGAAAUCUGAAAGAUCCUACAAAGGAAAAAGAUGGUUUUUUCCUUCACUGUAUUUUAUCUAUCAUCUGUUUAGGUACUAUUUAUAGGUUUGAGCUCCUUUACUCAAUUGUAAUUAUUUUGUUGUCAUACUCUUGGGUUUCGGACUGUUAGAUAUAUGG
RNAcentral lists this long non-coding RNA (586 nucleotides) under Elaeis guineensis (African oil palm). RNAcentral's name for it is "long non-coding RNA (EGUI_LNC045644)". Lineage: Eukaryota; Viridiplantae; Streptophyta; Magnoliopsida; Arecales; Arecaceae. The record is from RNAcentral.